AUACGGAGGAUCCGAGCGUUAUCCGGAUUUAUUGGGUUUAAAGGGAGCGUAGGUGGAUUGUUAAGUCAGUUGUGAAAGUUUGCGGCUCAACCGUAAAAUUGCAGUUGAAACUGGCAGUCUUGAGUACAGUAGAGGUGGGCGGAAUUCGUGGUGUAGCGGUGGAAUGCUUAGAUAUCACGAAGAACUCCGAUUGCGAAGGCAGCUCACUAGACUGCAACUGACACUGAUGCUCGAAAGUGUGGGUAUCGAACAGGAUUAGAUACCCUGGUAGUCCACACGGUAAACGAUGAAUUCUCGCUGUUUGCGAUAUACAGUAAGCGGCCAAGCGAAAGCAUUAAGUAUUCCACCUGGGGAGUACGCCGGCAACGGUGAAACUCAAAUGAAUUGACGGGG
RNAcentral lists this ribosomal RNA (393 nucleotides) under uncultured bacterium. RNAcentral's name for it is "partial 16S ribosomal RNA". It matches the Rfam family "Bacterial small subunit ribosomal RNA", at positions 523 to 918 of the family's 1533-position model. The record is from RNAcentral.